This 1363-nucleotide ribosomal RNA is filed under the name Salmonella enterica. Its description in RNAcentral is "partial 23S ribosomal RNA". It matches the Rfam family "Bacterial large subunit ribosomal RNA", at positions 1586 to 2925 of the family's 2925-position model. Lineage: Bacteria; Pseudomonadati; Pseudomonadota; Gammaproteobacteria; Enterobacterales; Enterobacteriaceae. RNAcentral also lists the same sequence under 1 other name. The record is from RNAcentral.
UGAAGCAACAAAUGCCCUGCUUCCAGGAAAAGCCUCUAAGCAUCAGGUAACAUCAAAUCGUACCCCAAACCGACACAGGUGGUCAGGUAGAGAAUACCAAGGCGCUUGAGAGAACUCGGGUGAAGGAACUAGGCAAAAUGGUGCCGUAACUUCGGGAGAAGGCACGCUGACACGUAGGUGAAGUGAUUUACUCAUGGAGCUGAAGUCAGUCGAAGAUACCAGCUGGCUGCAACUGUUUAUUAAAAACACAGCACUGUGCAAACACGAAAGUGGACGUAUACGGUGUGACGCCUGCCCGGUGCCGGAAGGUUAAUUGAUGGGGUCAGCGCAAGCGAAGCUCCUGAUCGAAGCCCCGGUAAACGGCGGCCGUAACUAUAACGGUCCUAAGGUAGCGAAAUUCCUUGUCGGGUAAGUUCCGACCUGCACGAAUGGCGUAAUGAUGGCCAGGCUGUCUCCACCCGAGACUCAGUGAAAUUGAACUCGCUGUGAAGAUGCAGUGUACCCGCGGCAAGACGGAAAGACCCCGUGAACCUUUACUAUAGCUUGACACUGAACAUUGAGCCUUGAUGUGUAGGAUAGGUGGGAGGCUUUGAAGUGUGGACGCCAGUCUGCAUGGAGCCGACCUUGAAAUACCACCCUUUAAUGUUUGAUGUUCUAACGUGGACCCGUUACCCGGGUUGCGGACAGUGUCUGGUGGGUAGUUUGACUGGGGCGGUCUCCUCCUAAAGAGUAACGGAGGAGCACGAAGGUUGGCUAAUCCUGGUCGGACAUCAGGAGGUUAGUGCAAUGGCAUAAGCCAGCUUGACUGCGAGCGUGACGGCGCGAGCAGGUGCGAAAGCAGGUCAUAGUGAUCCGGUGGUUCUGAAUGGAAGGGCCAUCGCUCAACGGAUAAAAGGUACUCCGGGGAUAACAGGCUGAUACCGCCCAAGAGUUCAUAUCGACGGCGGUGUUUGGCACCUCGAUGUCGGCUCAUCACAUCCUGGGGCUGAAGUAGGUCCCAAGGGUAUGGCUGUUCGCCAUUUAAAGUGGUACGCGAGCUGGGUUUAGAACGUCGUGAGACAGUUCGGUCCCUAUCUGCCGUGGGCGCUGGAGAACUGAGGGGGGCUGCUCCUAGUACGAGAGGACCGGAGUGGACGCAUCACUGGUGUUCGGGUUGUCAUGCCAAUGGCACUGCCCGGUAGCUAAAUGCGGAAGAGAUAAGUGCUGAAAGCAUCUAAGCACGAAACUUGCCCCGAGAUGAGUUCUCCCUGAGACUUAGAGUCUCCUGAAGGAACGUUGAAGACGACGACGUUGAUAGGCCGGGUGUGUAAGCGCAGCGAUGCGUUGAGCUAACCGGUACUAAUGAACCGUGAGGCUUAACCUU